RNAcentral lists this unclassified non-coding RNA (263 nucleotides) under uncultured Trichosporonales. RNAcentral's name for it is "sequence contains 5.8S rRNA gene, ITS2, 28S rRNA gene". The stretch from base 1 to 52 matches the Rfam family "5.8S ribosomal RNA", at positions 103 to 154 of the family's 154-position model. Lineage: Eukaryota; Fungi; Basidiomycota; Tremellomycetes. The record is from RNAcentral.
AACGCACCUUGCGCCUUUUGGUAUUCCGAAAGGCAUGCCUGUUUGAGUGUCAUGAAAUCUCAACCAUUAGGGUUUCUUAAUGGCUUGGACUUGGGCGCUUUGCCUCUCGAGGCUCGCCUUAAAAGCAUUAGUGCAAUGAAAUAAUCAUCUGUCUGGCGUAAUAAGUUUCGCUGGGCUGGUUAUGAAGUGUGCUUCUAAUCGCCUUCACGGGCAAUAUCUAUGACUCUGGCCUCAAAUCAGGUAGGGCUACCCGCUGAACUUAA